AUUUAUUUAAUUCUGGUUGUGGAAGGGGUAAGGGGGAGUGUCACAUAGGGAGGUUGUUUUGGUAUGUCGGGUUUGUGUAUCCUGAUUUCUUAGUGAUUAGAUCUCGGUUUUCGUGGAGAUUCGGAUCGGGCUCUCUUGGGUUGUAAGUGGUGGAUGCGCAGUGCCAGCCUCCGCGGUUAUUCUGUUAACUUCCCCUUCUGUUUAGUUGAAGUGGUUUUCCGGGUUACUCGGAUGUUGAGGUAGAAUUUUUAGUCUUUUGGAAAGGGGCCUGGAGAUUUGUGCGUUUGGAGGGUUUUGUGAGGAAAAGGAUUAGAGACCCUUGUACUGGGCACAUUAUUUUGUGGCUUUAGUAAAAACUAAAAGGAUUUGGCAGCCGAUGAAGUUCGUCCGGGGGAGUGUGUGCUUUAAGAGAUAGUCCGCUUAUGAGUUUACCGCUGUUAUUCUGUUAGUGUAUAUCCGGUUUGAGAUUCGUGGUUUCUGCCAUCGGGUGUAGAUAGUUUAUUGAAUCCAGGUCGAUGUGCUGCUGAUGCAGCGGGGGUUAUGCACUACGGUGUGAAAAGGCUCUCGUGAGAAUUGGGGGUUGUGUUUAGGACUCGGAAGUAGGUGAGUAGGAGCUUGGCUUAUCGAAGUAUGAUUUAGUUGGGGUACAUACCGCCCGUCGCCCAGGGUGUUAACUGUGGUAAGUCGUAACAUGGUAAUGCUGGGGGAACCGAGCAUUAGUUGGCUCUUCUGUGUAUUAGUCGGGUUG
Molecule: ribosomal RNA, 748 nt
Filed under: Brachycladium goliath
Lineage: Eukaryota; Metazoa; Platyhelminthes; Trematoda; Plagiorchiida; Brachycladiidae
Description: 12S ribosomal RNA
Source: RNAcentral